RNAcentral lists this transfer RNA (73 nucleotides) under Chloroflexota bacterium. Its description in RNAcentral is "Chloroflexi bacterium tRNA-Val". It matches the Rfam family "tRNA". From Rfam's summary of the family: Transfer RNA (tRNA) molecules are approximately 80 nucleotides in length. RNAcentral also lists the same sequence under 2 other names. The record is from RNAcentral. Lineage: Bacteria; Bacillati; Chloroflexota.
GGGCGGUUAGCUCAGCUGGUAGAGCGUCUGGCCUACAACCAGAAGGUCGGAGGAUCGUGCCCUCCACCGCCCA